GCGUCGGUGGUAUAACGGUUAGCAUAGCUGCCUUCCAAGCAGUUGACCGGGUUCGACUCCCGGCCGACGCA
This 71-nucleotide transfer RNA is filed under the name Caerostris darwini. RNAcentral describes it as "tRNA-Gly". It matches the Rfam family "tRNA". From Rfam's summary of the family: Transfer RNA (tRNA) molecules are approximately 80 nucleotides in length. Their secondary structure includes four short double-helical elements and three loops (D, anti-codon, and T loops). Further hydrogen bonds mediate the characteristic L-shaped molecular structure. tRNAs have two regions of fundamental functional importance: the anti-codon, which is responsible for specific mRNA codon recognition, and the 3' end, to which the tRNAs corresponding amino acid is attached (by aminoacyl-tRNA synthetases). tRNAs cope with the degeneracy of the genetic code in two manners: having more than one tRNA (with a specific anti-codon) for a particular amino acid; and 'wobble' base-pairing, i.e. permitting non-standard base-pairing at the 3rd anti-codon position. The record is from RNAcentral. Lineage: Eukaryota; Metazoa; Arthropoda; Arachnida; Araneae; Araneidae.